Molecule: RNase P RNA, 556 nt
Filed under: Patescibacteria group bacterium
Lineage: Bacteria
Description: RNase P RNA component class A
Rfam family: Bacterial RNase P class A
About the family: Ribonuclease P (RNase P) is a ubiquitous endoribonuclease, found in archaea, bacteria and eukarya as well as chloroplasts and mitochondria. Its best characterised activity is the generation of mature 5'-ends of tRNAs by cleaving the 5'-leader elements of precursor-tRNAs. Cellular RNase Ps are ribonucleoproteins.
Source: RNAcentral
GUUUUCAGCCGGAUGGUCGCCCCGCCCUUUUGAUUAACCAUAAGUGUUGAAUCUAAAUUCAAAAGAUUUCAAAGCGUCUUUUUGAACUUUUGUUAUCUACACUUGAUUAAUCAAAAGGGCGGGGAGGAAAGUCCGAACACCUUAUCUUGAUAUGUUGAAAUUUCAAAAUAUCAAGUUAAAGAGAUAAUGGCUAACGGCCACCUCCCGCCCUUUUGGCAACGAAUAAAUUUUUACUCCUUGCCAAAAGGGCGGGACGGGACAGUGUCACAGAGACAAUACUGCCGAUCGUCACUACAAAAACCCUAAAGGUUUUUAAUGUGGAGGAGGCAACAGGUGAAAAGAGUGGGGUAAGAGCCCACAGCGCAUAUUGGCGACAAUAUGCGGGGAAAAACACCUAUCCGGUGCAAUCUGCUCGAUAUAUCCAAAUUUCGAAAUAUCGAGUCGGAGCUUGAGCCCGUGAGUAAUUGCGGGCCUAGACAGAUGACCAUCCCCAGCGCCUUUUUGUACAUACAAAAAGGCGCUGGGACAGAAUUCGGCUUACAGGCUGGGAACAUAA